UACGGAAGGCAGCAGUGGGGAAUAUUGCACAAUGGGCGAAAGCCUGAUGCAGCUAUGCCGCGUGUAUGAAGAAGGCCUUAGGGUUGUAAAGUACUUUCAUCGGGGAGGAAAAAACAAAACUAAUAAUUUUAUUUCUUGACGUUACCCGAAAAAGAAGCACCGGCUAACUCCGUGCCAGCAGCCGCGGUAAUACGGAGGGUGCUAGCGUUAAUCAGAAUUACUGGGCGUAAAGAGCACGUAGGUGGUUUUUUUAAAGUCAGAUGUGAAAUCCCUGGGCUUAACCUGGAACUGCAUUUUGAAACUGAAAUACUAGAGUAUCGUAGAGGGAGGUAGAAUUCUAGGUGUAGCGGUGAAAUGCGUAGAUAUCUGGAGGAAUACCUGUGGCGAAAGCGGCCUCCUAAACGAAUACUGACACUGAGGUGCGAAAGCGUGGGGAGCAAACGAGGGAUUUAGAUACC
RNAcentral lists this ribosomal RNA (458 nucleotides) under uncultured bacterium. RNAcentral's name for it is "bacterial SSU rRNA". It matches the Rfam family "Bacterial small subunit ribosomal RNA", at positions 340 to 786 of the family's 1533-position model. The record is from RNAcentral.